Molecule: non-coding RNA, 5758 nt
Organism: Vicugna pacos (alpaca)
Lineage: Eukaryota; Metazoa; Chordata; Mammalia; Artiodactyla; Camelidae
Source: RefSeq, a predicted model, not a curated record
GGGGCGUGGUCCAUCACGUGACGAGGAAAUGCCGUUAAUAGCGUAGUCCCAGCGUCCCCGACGCUCUGGGAUGACGUAAGCCGUGAGAGGCGGGGCGGGAGGGGAAACUGAAGCUCCGGUGUGGCUCACGGUGCGCGGUUUGAUUCAGGAGUACUGUGCGUAUUACUCAACGCAGUUUGAGCUUUCAGGCUAAAUGACCUUUGUGCCUGUGAUACCGGAGUCCUACAGCCAUGUUCUUGCAGAAUUCGAGUCUCUGGAUCCAUUACUUGCAGCCCUGAGGCUGGACUCCACUCGUCUAAAGUGUACAAGCUUAACUGUGUCUCGAAAAUGGCUAGCCUUGGGCACUUCAGGAGGAGGACUCAAUCUCAUUCAGAAAGACGGCUGGAAGCACAGGCUUUUCCUUUCACACAGGGAAGGUGCAAUUUCUCAGGUCGCCUGUUGUUUACAUGAUGAUGAUUAUGUUGCUGUAGCUACCAGUCAAGGUCUUGUAGUUGUUUGGGAAUUAAAUCAAGAGCGUCGUGGAAAACCAGAAAGAAUUUAUGUGUCUUCAGAACACAAAGGCCGAAAAAUUACAGCUCUCUGUUGGGAUACAGCUAUUCUUAGAGUUUUUGUAGGUGAUCAUAUGGGGAAAGUUUCUGCCAUCAAACUCAACACUUCUAAACAAGCAAAGGCAGCUGCUGCCUUUGUGAUGUUUCCUGUUCAGACAAUAACAACAGUUGACUCCUGUGUUGUCCAGUUAGAUUAUUUGGAUGGAAGACUACUUAUAUCUUCACUUACUCGAUCCUUCUUGUGCGACACUGAGAGAGAAAAAUUUUGGAAAAUUGGAAACAAGGAAAGAGAUGGAGAAUAUGGGGCUUGUUUCUUCCCUGGAAGAUGUUCUGCAGGCCACCAGCCCCUAAUAUAUUGUGCUCGCCCUGGCUCCAGGAUGUGGGAAGUAAACUUUGAUGGAGAAGUUAUAAGUACACAUCAGUUUAAGAAACUCCUGUCCUCGCCACCUCUCCCCGUGAUUACUUUAAGAUCAGAGCCUCAGUAUGAUCAUACAGUUGGAUCUUCCCAGUCCUUGUCUUUCCCCAAACUUUUACAUCUUAGUGAGCAUUGUGUGCUGACUUGGACAGAAAGAGGAAUUUAUAUUUUCAUUCCUCAGAAUGUUCAGGUUCUUCUUUGGAGUGAAGUCAAAGAUAUUCAGGAUGUGGCUGUCUGCAAGAAUGAGCUGUUCUGUUUGCACCUAAACGGGAAGGUCUCACGUCUUUCCCUGUUGUCUGUGGAACGCUGUGUGGAACGCCUGCUAAGGAGAGGCCUGUGGAACCUGGCUGCUCGAACUUGCUGUCUUUUCCAGAAUUCUGUCAUUGCCAGCAGAGGAAGAAAAACUUUGACUAUAGAUAAAUUGGAACAUUUGAAAUCUCAACUGGACUUAACAACCUAUGGUGAUCUAAUUUCUCAACUGGAAGAACUGAUCUUAAAAUUUGAACCUUUGGAUUCAGCUUGUAGUAGUAGAAGAAGCUCCAUUUCAUCACAUGAAAGUUUCAGUAUCUUGGACUCUGGUAUUUAUCGUGUCAUUAGUAGUAGAAGAGGCAGUCAGUCAGAUGAAGACUCUUGUUCCCUUCACAGCCAAACCCUCUCAGAAGAUGAGAGACUUAAAGAAUUCACCUCACAUCAAGAAGAGGACCAACCAGAUCAGUGUUGUGGCUCACAAGGAACUGAAGUGACGUAUGAGACGGAUAAGAAUGAAACUUUUCUCCCCUUCAGCAUCCCACUGUCGUUUCGUUCUCCAUCUCCUCUAGUGUCUCUUCAGGCUGUCAAGGAAAGUGUUUCUAGCUUUGUGCGUAAAACUACUGAGAAGAUCGGCACCCUUCAUACUAGUCCUGAUCUGAAAGGGAGACCAGAACCCAGGGGUGAUGAGCAGUCAUGUGAAGAAGAUGUGAGUCCGGUCACUUGCCCAAAGGAGGAAGACACUGUGGGGAAAGAAGUAGCCAGUCAACCUCCAGAAGAAGACGAGUUACAAGAGCUCAAAAUAGCAACAGCAGAAGCCAUAACCAAGCUACAGGACCCACUGGUUUUGUUUGAACCAAAGUCUCUGAGAUUGGUUUUACAGGAGUGGCUUUCACACUUAGAAGAAACAUUUGCCGUGGAGGACUUCUCAAGCAUUUCAGAUACUGACAACUCAUCCAUGAAAUCAAACCAGAAUAUACUAUUGCUUGAUGGGUCAAGAAAGGGAAUAUUAGAUGAAGAACAUGAAAAAGAAAAAAGGAACUCUUUACGCAAUGAAGAAACUGUUCAUCAAACAGCAUAUGAGUCUGUAAAUAGUCCGAGGGAGCCCUUGGAUGAUGACCUUUUUCGAGUAUGUUCUCCGUGCAGUAUAGCAAACGAUCUUCUGAAGGACCUGGCUGAACUGACAACGUUGUGUUUGGAAUUGAAUGUAUUGAAUUCUGAGAUCAGAAAUGCAGGUGGAUGUGUGGAUCACACUUUGCAACAGUGCUCACCUGAAAUUCUGGCUUGUCAUUUCCUAAAGAAGUACUUUUUUCUCCUGGACUUGAAAAGAGCAAAGGAGAGCAUCAAGCUGAGUUACACUAACAGUCCUUGUAUUUGGGAUACUUUUAUUGAAGGAUUGAAAGAAAUGGCAAGUUCCAAUCCUACAUAUAUAAAGAUGGAAGAAGGAGACCUCCCAGCAAAAUUAAAGUUACUGGAUGAUUCGGUCCCUUUUGACAGUCCUUUGUUGAUUGCUUAUGCUACCCGAUUGUAUGAGAAAUUUGGAGAAUCUGCCCUUCGAUCCUUAAUCAGGUUUUACCCAUCCAUUUUGCCUUCAGAUGUCAUGCAACUUUGUCAUUACCACCCCGCUCAGUUUUUGGCCUAUUUAGACAGUCUGGUGAAAUCAAGGCCUGAAGAUCAACGGCCAUCCUUCCUUGAGUCCCUUCUACAACCAGAGUCUUUAAGAUUGGAUUGGCUGCUGUUGGCAGUGUCCCAUGAUGCUCCCCCAAGCACCAGCACUGUAGACGACGAAGGAAAUCCCAGGCCUCAUUCCCACUUGUUUUCUUGGGGUUACAGUCAGCUAAUCCUUCAUCUAAUUAAACUUCCUGCAGAUUUUACAACAAAAGAGAAAAUGACUGACAUCUGUAGGUCUCAUGGUUUCUGGCCUGGAUAUCUUAUUCUCUGUUUGGAGCUGGAGAGAAGAAGAGAGGCCUUCACCAACAUUGUGUACCUGAAUGAUAUGAGCCUGAUGGAAGGUGACCUUGGUUGGAGCCCAGAGACUGUGGAGGAAUGGAAGCUGCUUCUACACCUCGUACAGAACAAGAGCACAAAGCCAGCCCCCCAGAAGCCACCAAACGGGAACUUCAGUGAUGGGCCUUCCCCUGUCAACGUGGAGAAUGUAGCACUCCUGUUAGCUAAGGCUAUGGGCCCAGAUCGGGCCUGGUCGCUAUUGCAGGAAUGUGGUUUGACCCUUGAGCUGUCAGAGAGGUUUACCAGGACCUGCGAUAUUUUGAGGAUUGCCGAGAAAAGGCAGAGAGCCUUGAUACAAAGCAUGCUUGAAAAAUGUGAUCGGUUUCUCUGGUCUCAGCAGGCCUAGUGGAGGAAGAUUCAGCAGGGUGUCUCGGCAUUUUGAGAAAAACUGAAUCGUGCUCCUGAACCUUCUGAAAUCAUUUGCUAUUGAAGGAAAGGCCCCACCUGAGAUCCCUGCAACCUUAUUGGGAGCACUUUUAUUCUUCUCCAUCAUUGGUUAUUACAGGAUAUUGAAUAUAGUUCCCUAUGCUUUACAAAUCUAUGGGUCCUUAAGAAUUGUGCUAAAUCUGCUCUGCCUGUGCUCUAUAAAGGGGAUGACAGCGUGGAUGACAGUACCAGUGUUUACAGCGUCACAGUUUAAUGAACAUUUUAAGCUCACUGUUGAGCCCUACUGCUCAGAAAAAAAGAUUCCUUUCAAAAUAUUACUGCUCGUUUACAAUGCAUUUGGUCACACAAGAGCUCUGAUGGACAUGUACAAGAUUCAUGUUUUUAUGUCUACUCAUACAAUACCCAUUCUGCAGCCCAUGGAUCAAGGAGUAAUUUCAACUUUCAAUCUUACUGCUUAAGAAAUACAUGUUGUAAGGCUGAACUGCCAUAGAUAAUGAUUCCUCUGAUGGAUUUGGGCAAAGUAAAUUGAAAACCUGGAAAGGAUGCACCAUUCUAGAUGCCAUUAAGAACAUUCACAAUUCAUGGGGAGAGGCUAACGUAUUAACAACCGGAGUUUGAAAGAAGUUGAUUCCAGCCCUCAUGGGUGGCUUUGAGGAGUUCAAGACUUCAGUGGAGGAAGUAACUGCAGAUGUGGUGGAAAUAACAAGAGAACUAUAAUAAGAAGUGGGACUUGAAGAUGUGACUCAAUUGCUGCAAUCUCAUGAUGAAACUUUAACAGUUGUUUCUUAUGAAAGAGCAAAGAAAGUGGUUUCUUGAGAUGGAAUCUACUCUUGGUGAAGACUGUUGAAAUGACAGCAAAGGAUUUAGAAUAUUACAAAAACUUAGUUGAUAAAGCAGUGACAAGGUUGAGAGAAGAUUGACUCCAAUUUUGAAAGAAGUUCUACUGUGAGUAAAAUGCUAUGAAAUAACAUUGCAUUGCUACAGAGAAACCAUUUAUGAAAGGAAGAAUCAAUUGAUGUGGCAGACUUCUGUGGGGUCUUACUUUAAGAAAUUGCCACAGCCACUCCAGCUUCAGCAAACACCACCCUGAUCGGUGAGCAACCAUCGAUAUGGAGGCAAAACCCUCCACCAGCAAAAAGAUUAUAACUCACUGAAGUCUCAGAUGAUGGUUAGCAUUUCUUAGCAUUAAAGUAUUUUUAAAGUAAGAUAUAUACAUUGUUUUUUAAAGAUAUAAUGCUAUUGCAUGCUUAAUCGAUUAUAGUAUAGUGUAAACUAAAUUUUACAUGUGCUGGGAAACCAAAAAAUUCAUGUGGCUCGCUUUAUUGCUAUGGUCUGGGACCAAACUCACAAUAUCUCUUGAGGUAUGACUAUGCUUCUGACUGACGGGCUGUGAAUCACAGGUUCCUGUGACUGCUCCCUUGGGUUCAGUUAAUUUGCUAGAGUGGCUUGCAGAACUCAGAGAAACAUGUUACUUACUAGGUUAUCAGCUUAUCAUCAAAGGAUGUCAUUCAGGAACAGCUGGAUGGAAGGGCAAGGAGCUUCCAUGCCCUCUUCCAGUGCCACUUUCACUGAAUCUCCACUUGGGCAACACCUGGAAGCUCUAGAUAAAGCAGUGGCAGGGUUGAGAGGGGAGACGGGCUGGAGGUUGACUUUAAUCACCAGUGGCCAAGGUCGGAAAGUUCCAACCCUCAAAGCACAUGGCUGGCUCCACGGGCAACCAGCUCCUAUCCUUAGGUACAGUCCAAAACUCAUCUCAUUAAUGUAACAAAUGACACCUUUCUCACUCUCCUCCCUUUGGAAAUUCCAAGGAUUUUAGGACCUCUAUGCCAGGAAAGAGGAUGAAGACCAAAUACAUUUUCUUACAAAUCACAAUAGCACACCUUCCCAAUAAGAUCAGCUGGAUCAUGGCUGUUACUAGAGUAUGUUGAAUGUGAGUGUGUACUAAGGGAAUGAGGGAGAGCUCUCCCUUCACAGUCAGCUUUUGCCAUUACACAGUGGCUGUCCAGAAGAGGGCCCAGAGGAGAUCGCAGCAGGAGGAGACAGCCUGGCACAGUUGUGCAAUCAUUUCCCUGCAGAUUUUUCUAGGGCACGUCACAGCAAUCCUCAUUUUCCAAGAGGGUACAGAGAAUUUUCUAGCAUUAAAAAAAAAAAAAAC